UCCCUAUGAAGCCUGAAGACAGCCGUGAAACUCCUCCCUUUUCCAGCCUAAGUUGUUGUCCAAGUAAAAAGUUAAAUGAAUGUGAAGUUUGGUGAGAAUCUAUGGAAGUUUUGGUAGUGAUUUGGUGAAUUUUGGAAGAGGAAAUGUUGAAGUCUUUGGUUGUUUCCUCUGCAGCAGCUGGCCGACCAUGAAGCUAGAAGGAAAGGAAAUGCGGUUUCUG
Molecule: long non-coding RNA, 220 nt
Filed under: Coffea arabica (coffee)
Lineage: Eukaryota; Viridiplantae; Streptophyta; Magnoliopsida; Gentianales; Rubiaceae
Description: long non-coding RNA (CARA_LNC001267)
Source: RNAcentral